UAAGUUUGAUGGCGACCGGCGCACGGGUGAGUAACACGUAUCCAACCUGCCGAUGACUCGGGGAUAGCCUUUCGAAAGAAAGAUUAAUACCCGAUGGCAUAGUUCUUCCGCAUGGUGGAACUAUUAAAGAAUUUCGGUCAUCGAUGGGGAUGCGUUCCAUUAGGUUGUUGGCGGGGUAACGGUCCACCAAGCCUUCGAUGGAUAGGGGUUCUGAGAGGAAGGUCCCCCACAUUGGAACUGAGACACGGUCCAAACUCCUACGGGAGGCAGCAUG
This 274-nucleotide ribosomal RNA is filed under the name uncultured bacterium. RNAcentral's name for it is "partial 16S ribosomal RNA". It matches the Rfam family "Bacterial small subunit ribosomal RNA", at positions 80 to 353 of the family's 1533-position model. The record is from RNAcentral.